RNAcentral lists this ribosomal RNA (198 nucleotides) under uncultured bacterium. RNAcentral's name for it is "partial 16S ribosomal RNA". It matches the Rfam family "Bacterial small subunit ribosomal RNA", at positions 1297 to 1500 of the family's 1533-position model. The record is from RNAcentral.
AUUGGAGUCUGCAACUCGACUCCAUGAAGCUGGAUUCGCUAGUAAUCGCGCAUCAGCCAUGGCGCGGUGAAUACGUUCCCGGGCCUUGUGCACACCGCCCGUCAAGCCAUGGGAGUCGGGAGUGCCUGAAGUUCGUGACCGUCACAGGAGCGACCUAAGGCAAGACCGAUGACUGGGGCUAAGUCGUAACAAGGUAGC